RNAcentral lists this long non-coding RNA (264 nucleotides) under Anser brachyrhynchus (Pink-footed goose). Its description in RNAcentral is "lncRNA (ENSABRG00000016074.1)". The record is from RNAcentral. Lineage: Eukaryota; Metazoa; Chordata; Aves; Anseriformes; Anatidae.
ACUUGUCGGGAAGAUUAUGUACAAUAAAAAGGACAUCUGCAAUGAACUGUAGUGAGGCUCCUACCUACAUUGUAUAGCUUCCAUUCACUGGUAACAUUCCUCAGAGGUGCUGGAGGCAUUAGGAUAACAUCUGAAAGCAAGAGAAAAACAAACCAACUAACCGUCUAACCAUGAAAAGAGCACAGAGUCUUCUGGAAUGAGACACACCCACAAGAUAGAUGGAAGGGAUUUCAGAUCUACUUGGAGUAUGAUAAAAACACAAUA